CUGACCUUGAUGGCUCUUGCUCCCAAAUUCAACGUUUUUGAGCCAAAAGACUUCCAGCUGUGGUUCCAAGUCAAUCUGGUUGUUCUGCUGGCCAGCUUCCAUCCUGGCAGAUUGGUUGAUAUUCCCCUAAACAUCACCUGUGAAUCCUACAAUGCCAUAUUUACGGGUCUCGACCAAAGUUUGGAAUCUCUUCCGCCUCACCUCUCACAGGGUGUAAAGUCAAGCUUGGAUGCACUGAUGAAGACAUUCCAACGUUGCUCAAGGCCUCCAG
Oncorhynchus masou masou (cherry salmon) is the source of this 271-nucleotide long non-coding RNA. RefSeq lists it as uncharacterized. The transcript has 3 exons. The record is from RefSeq and is a predicted model, not a curated record. Lineage: Eukaryota; Metazoa; Chordata; Actinopteri; Salmoniformes; Salmonidae.